AGGGUCAUUGGAAACUGGAAAAACUUGAGUGCAGAAGAGGAAAGUGGAAUUCCAUGUGUAGCGCGUGAAAUGCGCAGAGAUAUGGAGGAACACCAGUGGCGAAGGCGGCUUUCUGGUCUGUAACUGACGCUGAUGUGCGAAAGCGUGGGGAUCAAACAGGAUUAGAUACCCUGGUAGUCCACGCCGUAAACGAUGAGUGCUAAGUGUUAGGGGGUUUCCGCCCCUUAGUGCUGCAGCUAACGCAUUAAGCACUCCGCCUGGGGAGUACGGUCGCAAGACUGAAACUCAAAGGAAUUGACGGGGACCCGCACAAGCGGUGGAGCAUGUGGUUUAAUUUGAAGCAACGCGAAGAACCUUACCAAAUCUUGACAUCUUUUGACCACUCUAGAGAUAGAGUUUUCCUCUUCGGAGGACAAAAUGACAGGUGGUGCAUGGUUGUCGUCAGCUCGUGUCGUGAGAUGUUGGGUUAAGUCCCGCAACGAGCGCAACCCUUGAGCUUAGUUGCCAUCAUUAAGUUGGGCACUUUAAGUUGACUGCCGGUGACAAACCGGAGGAAGGUGGGGAUGACGUCAAAUCAUCAUGCCCCUUAUGAUUUGGGCUACACACGUGCUACAAUGGACAAUACAAAGGGCAGCGAAACCGCGAGGUCAAGCAAAUCCCAUAAAGUUGUUCUCAGUUCGGAUUGUAGUCUGCAACUCGACUACAUGAAGCUGGAAUCGCUAGUAAUCGUAGAUCAGCAUGCUACGGUGAAUACGUUCCCGGGUCUUGUACACACCGCCCGUCACACCACGAGAGUUUGUAACACCCGAAGCCGGUGGAGUAACCAUUAUGGAGCUAGCCU
RNAcentral lists this ribosomal RNA (841 nucleotides) under Staphylococcus chromogenes. Its description in RNAcentral is "bacterial SSU rRNA". It matches the Rfam family "Bacterial small subunit ribosomal RNA", at positions 619 to 1455 of the family's 1533-position model. The record is from RNAcentral. Lineage: Bacteria; Bacillati; Bacillota; Bacilli; Caryophanales; Staphylococcaceae.